UUUAAAUCAAGACAGAAAGCAGGAAUUGAUAUACAAAGGGCAUUACAAAUGGAAAAUUUGAGAUAAUAUCUUUGAAUACGAACUUGCAAAGGUAUCAAGUGUACAAAAACAAUUAGUAGGCACUAUUACACUUCAUCAAAUGAACCUAUUAGACCAAUUUAAAGAUGACGUUUUCCUGAAUUAGGGUUGGACUUGGUGCAAAGGAGCCAUCGUCCCUUGGCACGUCGACGUUUCAACACUGCCCUUCCACUGGUGGUUUUCAUCCUUCGACGGAAGCCAUGAGUCCUGGCCAGAGACUUCCGAGACCUGUUCCUCUUGGUUUGACAAAGAGCAGCCUUUCCAGCUCUGACUACUAGGCCGUAACCUCUUUCCUUUCUUACCCCACUAGAAUUCAUAUCCAAUCCCAAAGACAAACCUGAAAAGGAAGAAGGGAAUGCGAGAGAAGAAGAGAGAAAGGAGCAGUGAAGAAGUCCUGAGCGAGAUGCAGAGUUGCUGAACACAUUUAUUGAGAAAUUGCUUCUUGGUUUUGAACCAGUAAAGAGAGACAGAGAAGUUGAUGGGACCACGAGCAGUUGGCACGCUUCGAGUCGACACCCAUGGUGGCGGUGUACACGAAACCGUCGAUAAUGAAGCUGUCAGUGCCAUUCUUAUGAAUCUUAUCUGUGACAGGUUCUUG
Molecule: unclassified non-coding RNA, 676 nt
Filed under: Hevea brasiliensis (rubber tree)
Lineage: Eukaryota; Viridiplantae; Streptophyta; Magnoliopsida; Malpighiales; Euphorbiaceae
Source: RNAcentral